ACCUACAAGCGGUGGAUCAC
This 20-nucleotide ribosomal RNA is filed under the name Oligonychus perseae (avocado spider mite). Its description in RNAcentral is "partial 5.8S ribosomal RNA". The record is from RNAcentral. Lineage: Eukaryota; Metazoa; Arthropoda; Arachnida; Trombidiformes; Tetranychidae. RNAcentral also lists the same sequence under 1 other name.